This 1684-nucleotide long non-coding RNA is filed under the name Mus musculus (house mouse). RNAcentral's name for it is "predicted gene, 34499". The record is from RNAcentral. Lineage: Eukaryota; Metazoa; Chordata; Mammalia; Rodentia; Muridae.
GGCUAUCACCAGGGGCUCACACUUCAGUUAUGAACUUUCCAUACACAGAAUCAUGGUUAAUAAAUUUGUGUUCAUUAUAAAUUUCCCAGUUUGUAUAGUUUGUUAUAGGAUCACAAAAUGGACAGAUGCCCUUCAAGCCGAUGCAAGAUGCAAGGAUGCAAAGAGCAGAGCAAAGACUAACCUGUUUUGAAGACGUUCACCAAAACUGAGCAGUGUGCAAAGGCCUCUUUCCCAGACCUGAAACCUGGCUCUUUAUUUCUCAACGAAGUUGCACUAAAGAUGGAGGAAAGUCUGGCCUGCACCUGUCCCUCCUCCAGCAGGCUCCCUUGGCAAACCGGAAGUUUAAUUUAAAAACAAAUCAAGGAAAGAAAACUAUUGAUUCUUUUUCGGAUUGCCUGCUUGUUAUGGAUAAAUUCACACUCCAUGAAUUUGAAAGUGCAGGAAGGGCGGUCCUCCCCAGGAGGGUCACAUGAUCAUCUCACCAGAUGCAGAAAGCACAGUUAGCAGCAAAAUUCAACAGCUCUCCAUGAUAAAAAGCCCUGUGGAAACUGGGUGCAGAAGACUAAUACCCUAGCACAGCGAGGCUGUCUACAGCAGACCUGUGACUGACCUCACAAUGGAUGUUAGAAGCUGAAGUGCUGAGCUUCACCUGUGAUGACUUCAGAGAGAGAAACUCACCAAAGAACUUCUUGUGAGAUUCUUGUGGCUUCCUGCUGAUUCCUCAGACUUGGCCACCAGGAUUGAACUGCCCUUGCUGAUUCGUGUGUGGUGUCUGCUGAGUGGGCUGGACUGCAGUUGCUGAUUCAUGUUUGGUGUUUGCUAGUGGACUGGUCUAAAAAUAACAAAGAUUGGAAUCACAUCAAAGCACUACUUCUAAACAGGUCCACUUCCCCCAUAUCCUAAUAAUCUUUCUUUUCCACUUCCUCUGGUGGUAUAGAGGGGAAGUUGAACCCUUAUUGAAGUAGGUUGUAAAAUAUGUAUAUGCCUACACUUAUAACACAAACGAGCAAUUCACUCAAAUCAUACAAACUGUAGACUGUGAAAAGUAAAAUACACUAGAAUUAUACAUUUGUCACUAUUUUACACUUACAUGUAGGAUGGGUGCAGAAGUUCUCUCUAACAGGCACAGGUCAAUAGACUAGGCAAGGGGAUGGAGAAAUAAACCCAGGCAGCUACAGCCAUCUGCCUCUUCAUAUAAGUUCCAAAACCACUGGAGAACAGGCAGCCUCUUUUUCAAAUGGUUCUUGAAUAGCUGGGUGUUGACCUGUAAAAGAAUAAACCUAACCCGCUGGCUCUCAUCCUAUACAGAAAUAAAUUCAGAAAAUGGAGAAGGGCCGACCUUUAAAAUACAGGUUUGCAACUCUGAAGCUGCUAGGGGAGAAUGUAAGUGAAGCAUGUGGAGAUAUGGGCAUGAGUGGUGACUUCCUCAGUAUGACUUGGAUAGCCCAGGUGAUGAUGGCAAGAAUUGACAAGUGGGAUUAAAAGAACAAAAGAAGUUUCUGCCUCUACGGGAGACAUUCAAUAGACUCAAGAGACAACCUACAGGUAAGAAAAAAAUUUCCCAGCAACAAUCAAAGGAUUCAUAUCCAGAAUUUCUGAAGAACUCAGAGACUAAAUACCAAGGAAACAAGGAAUUCUGUGACCAGAUCAACAACUGUACUGAAACAUUCUCAAAAAAAAAAAA